GAACAUAGAGUUGAGGUUUAGCCAGUAGUAUGUAACCGGCUUUUCAGUGGCCUUAAGCACAAUGAACAUUCUCAUUCUCCCAGCUAGUCCUGGCAUGAUGCAUUUUACACAGAUGUGUAAAGUGUGCUUAAAACUUUAUAUACUCUCAGUUAGUAAUUAGAGCAUCCCAGUGUGGGCAGUGUGGUUUCUGGCUAAAUUAUUUCGUCUGGACUUGGACUUAUCUGAUGUAUGGAUGAUUCAAACACAAUUUUUUUUUUUCUGUGAGUAUAUGCCCACAUAUCUAACACAGCUCAACAUUAUGACACAGUUCUCUUUUAGACUUCCAUUUAAUUACGUUAUAUGGUAUUUGUGUCACGCUGUCAGUCUCUGUUUUCCUGGGUGUCCACUAGUGUGCUCACUUCUGGAGGGGGAGGUCGCUCCGGAGUGUGUAGUCAAGAAUAGGUCCGGCAGCGAUCUCCACUGUGGUCUCCCGUUGACCCGGGGGUUCGGAUGGGAGCCGCCAUUUCCCCAUUAUGGACAGAGAGGGGAGAGGAGACGCAAAUCGGCUGAGCCAGCGCCGCUGUGCAAGAUGGCCACCAGUCCAGCGUCGCUGCACAAAAUGGCCGCCAACCCAGUGGCGCUGCGCAGCAUGGCCGCCAACCCAGCACCACGAGGCAAGAUGGAAGCCAGCCCCACACCACAGCACAAGAUGGCCGCCAGCUCAGCGCCACGAGGCAAGAUGGCCAUCAGUCCAGCUCCACAGCACAAGAUGGCUGCCAACCCAGUGCCAAGAGGCAAGAUGGAUGCCAGCACAGCGCCAAAGCACAAAGUGGCCACCAGUCCAGCGCCACAGUGCAAGAUGGCCGCCAGCUCAGCGCCAAUGCACAAGAUGGCCGCCAGUCCAGCGCCACAGCACAAGAUGGCUGCCAAUCCAGCGCCAGGAGGCAAGAUGAAUGCCAGCAUAGCGCUACAGCACAAAGUGGCCACCAGUCCAGCGCCACAGUGCAAGAUGGCCGCCAGCUCACCGCCAACGCCCAAGAUGGCAGCAGAGACAUUUU
This 1037-nucleotide long non-coding RNA is filed under the name Carassius auratus (goldfish). RNAcentral's name for it is "lncRNA (ENSCARG00000034278.1)". The record is from RNAcentral. Lineage: Eukaryota; Metazoa; Chordata; Actinopteri; Cypriniformes; Cyprinidae.